AUGGGUCAAUGCACGGUCCUGGUCGGUCGGUCAAUCGGUCGGUCGGUCGGUCAAUCGGUCGGUCGGUCGGUCAGUCGUGCCUG
RNAcentral lists this microRNA precursor (83 nucleotides) under Myotis lucifugus (little brown bat). RNAcentral describes it as "miRNA (ENSMLUG00000018053.2)". Lineage: Eukaryota; Metazoa; Chordata; Mammalia; Chiroptera; Vespertilionidae. The record is from RNAcentral.